This 981-nucleotide long non-coding RNA is filed under the name Fukomys damarensis (Damara mole-rat). Its description in RNAcentral is "lncRNA (ENSFDAG00000023026.1)". The record is from RNAcentral. Lineage: Eukaryota; Metazoa; Chordata; Mammalia; Rodentia; Bathyergidae.
CGCAAGAGAGUCUUAAAACUAGAUUUAAAAGAAAGAAAGCAGGCCCAAAGAGAGGGCAAGGCCCGGAGGAGGAGGGGUGACGGGUUUGCCCUGGGAGGUCCAGGGCAUCAGUGGGUGAACACCGGGAUCACAGGUCAUUGUGCCUCAUCCCGUGGGGUGGUGCCCACCCACUGUGCCCUCUCUGGGUCUGGGUUCUUCUCCUGCUUGCUUACUUUCCCGAGGUGUCGCUCCUGCGGGAGUCCUGGGCUGGCUGACUGUGUGUUCUCUCUUCCAGGAGGGCGUUGUCACAGAGUCCCAAGUGCACUGUGUCGUUCACUGUAGAAACCCAGUGGAGCACCCGGGAGCCUGCUGCCCCACCUGUCCAGGCUGCCUGUUCCAAGGUGUGCAGUACGGCGAGGGAGAGGCGUUUUGGCCGGAAGGGAGCAAGUGCACCAAGUGUUCCUGCCUCGUAAGUGCUGCGUGGGUGCCGGUCUCAGGGCUGUUUGCCUGACCCCGAGCGGCUGGCUCUGCCCGGGCAUCGCUGACACUGGCUUGGGUCAUCCGCGUGGUGGGGCUGCAGGGUGUCCUGAAGGAUGUGUAGCUGCAGCCUGGUCUCCGCCCUCACUUCCGCCUGCAGCCAGCAGGGUCAGCAGGCCCUGCCCGGUCCCUGAAGAGCAGCCUCAGUUCUCACUAGGACCCGCCGCUCUUCAGGGCACAGGAGCCAGGCCCUUGCGCCUCUGCUGCCCCCCUGGGGGUUCUGUGGCUUCUUGCUUCCUGGGAUGGAGGAGCUUCCUGCCAAGGCAGCUGUGGGUUUGCUGCAGUCAGAUGGGAGCGGAUGGGAGUUCUGCGGGUGAGGGUGCUCUGGGGAUGGCAGAAGGAAGUCAGGGGGUCUGGUCUUAGGCAGCAUCUUGUGUUAAUUACAGUAGAUAGUUGGUACACUCUUUAUUUUUUGUUUGUUUGUUUUCUUUUCUUUUCUAAUAAAGAACGCACAUUUUCCAAGUC